GUUAAGUUAGUUUAUUACAAAACAUCAGCCUGUGGAUUUGAAGAAAGGAACUAAAUUCCUACUUAACC
Molecule: transfer RNA, 68 nt
Filed under: Conus gloriamaris
Lineage: Eukaryota; Metazoa; Mollusca; Gastropoda; Neogastropoda; Conidae
Description: tRNA-His
Rfam family: tRNA
About the family: Transfer RNA (tRNA) molecules are approximately 80 nucleotides in length. Their secondary structure includes four short double-helical elements and three loops (D, anti-codon, and T loops).
Source: RNAcentral